RNA transcript from Myotis davidii, 545 nucleotides. It is a transcript of the gene named thymosin beta-4 pseudogene, with no coding region annotated. The transcript has a single exon. Lineage: Eukaryota; Metazoa; Chordata; Mammalia; Chiroptera; Vespertilionidae. The record is from RefSeq and is a predicted model, not a curated record.
CUCUCUCAGCUUCCUCUGCACCCAUGUCUGACAAACCCCAUAUGGCUGAGAUUGAGAAAGUCGGUAAGUCGAAAUUGAAGAAGACAGAAACGCGAGAGAAAAAUCCUUCAAAAGAAAUGAUUGAGCAGGAGAAGCAAGCAGGCAAAUCGUAAUGAGGCACGCGCCGCCAAUAUGCACUGUACAUCCCACAAGCAUUGCCUUCUUAUUUUACUUCUUUUAGCUGUUUAACUUUGUAAGAUGCAAAGAGGUUGGAUCAGUUUAAGUGACUGUGCUGCCCCUUUUCACAUCAGAACUACUGACAACGAAGGCCGCACCUGCCGCUCCCAUCUGCCUGGCUGGCGGGGAAGGGGACAGCUUGCAUGUUGGUGAAGGAAGGAGCUGGGUGGGACGAGGGUGAAAUCUAGAGUUAAAACCAAGCUGGUCCAAGGGGUCCUGCGGGCUGUAAAAUGCAGUUUAAUCAGAGUGCCAUUUUUUUUUUUUGUUCAAAUGAUUUUAAUUAUUGGAAUGCACAAUUUUUUUAAUAUGCAAAUAAAAAGUUUUAAAAC